UAAAAUGCAGCAUUGUAAAACAAUUCAUGGACACAUAAAGUGGGAGCAUACCAGGGAUGAGUUUAUUAGAUUAUCUGGUCACAACCUUUGCUUGCAACAGUUUGGAAAGAAGCUGAUUUUAGAACUAUGUACGAAGAAUAUUCAACAAAGUUGGAGAUUUUACUCCUAUCCAUACUUUGAAAACACACAAAGUCAACAUUGAUCAUGACAAGUACACCUGAUGUAACUAUGUUUACAUCAUAACAGAUUAAGAAAGUUGCAUAGAACGUUGCAGCUGAGAAAAUCUUAAUGCAGGAACUAAAGCUAGUCUAGAUUGUUUUCGUAGAAAAAUGUACGUUGAUAAAACUUCGUGCCAAUGAAUUCUUUUAAUUGAAUUUUGAUGGAAGUAAUAGACGGCAAUAUAAACUUAUACUGAAAGAUGUAUUAUAAAAACCGUAUUGACUAUUUAGUUCCUACUAAAUUUUGAAACUAAUCAAGCUUCAUUUGCAUUUUUCGAAAACUGUCAUACGCUAUAUUAAGGUGUCAUAUUUGUGACCCCUAUAAACAAACGAUUGUCGUGCAUGAUGACGAAGCAGCUGUGAAGCAUUCUGCUUAAAAUCAGUGCUAAUUUUCACAUCAUCCAAUUUGCUAACUGCAUAUUGCAGAUUGUAGAUAAGUACUUUUGUAAAGCUUCUUGUUACACAAGAAUUUAGUUCAGUUAUGUUUGGAUGAAAUCCUUCGAUAAUGCUGCAACAUAGAUAUAAUUAAUUUGAAGUAAAAAAGACUUUUUUCUAUAUA
This is a long non-coding RNA of Xenia sp. Carnegie-2017, 777 nucleotides long. RefSeq lists it as uncharacterized. The record is from RefSeq and is a predicted model, not a curated record. NCBI's taxonomy places the organism in Eukaryota, Metazoa, Cnidaria, Anthozoa, Malacalcyonacea, Xeniidae. The transcript has 2 exons.